This 491-nucleotide unclassified non-coding RNA is filed under the name Hevea brasiliensis (rubber tree). Lineage: Eukaryota; Viridiplantae; Streptophyta; Magnoliopsida; Malpighiales; Euphorbiaceae. The record is from RNAcentral.
UUUUUAUCCUUGUUGGCUUCAUAGCUUUUGUUGCUAGCUCACUUUUUUUGGUAGUUUGUCUAUUUGCAUGUACUAGGUGGGGUUAUGUGCUAAGUAGUGUGAUUUUGCUAAAUCAUGAGUUUAUUAAUGUAAAAUUACUUUCAUUUUUAAUUCAUUUAUCUUAUUCUGAGAAUUUGUGUUAUUCCCAUGCAAUUUUUAAAAUGAAAAAUACUGUUUAACAUGAAAAAUUUGAACAUAUACAGUUAUUAUGCUUAUUUAAAAAUAAUAGUUCUUUUCAGGCUAUUUUUGUUUCAAAAUAAGUUGUUUAUGGUGACCAAAAAAGUGGUUUAUGUCUUUAUGAUAUUGUUUGUGGGGUUAUCAGUUAAAAUGAAAAUGACCAGUUUUAAUAUAUCAAAUCAUAUUGGCUCAGACCUUCUUCACUUCUUUUUACCCAUUUAUACAGAGUUAUUUGGUCCUUCCACUAGCUUCAUAUUUUAACUAAUGGCUUCAUG